RNAcentral lists this small nucleolar RNA (218 nucleotides) under Chelonia mydas (Green sea turtle). RNAcentral describes it as "Small nucleolar RNA U3". It matches the Rfam family "Small nucleolar RNA U3". Rfam says of the family: Small nucleolar RNAs (snoRNAs) are involved in the processing and modification of rRNA in the nucleolus. There are two main classes of snoRNAs: the box C/D class, and the box H/ACA class. The record is from Rfam by way of RNAcentral. Lineage: Eukaryota; Metazoa; Chordata; Testudines; Cheloniidae.
AAAACUAUGCUUUCGGGGAUCAUCUCUCUAGUGGGUGACUGGAGAAGGGUGGCUGUGAAAAGCUGGUCUUGCUAGCCACAAUGAGGAGUUAUAGGUGUUUCUUUCCAAAAAUAAAAGUAGCAGAGAGUGCUGUUCUAUAACAGCUGCAUUUUUCUGCUGUAAAAGCGUGUCUUGCUCUUCCUGAGAAAAGUAGGGGAAAGAAACAUAGUCUGAGUGGC